This 979-nucleotide ribosomal RNA is filed under the name Alteromonas sp. RNAcentral's name for it is "bacterial SSU rRNA". It matches the Rfam family "Bacterial small subunit ribosomal RNA", at positions 56 to 1032 of the family's 1533-position model. The record is from RNAcentral. Lineage: Bacteria; Pseudomonadati; Pseudomonadota; Gammaproteobacteria; Alteromonadales; Alteromonadaceae.
UGCANGUCGAACGGUAGCAGGAAGUGCUUGCACUUUGCUGACGAGUGGCGGACGGGUGAGUAAUGCUUGGGAACUUGCCUUUGCGAGGGGGAUAACAGUUGGAAACGACUGCUAAUACCGCAUAAUGUCUACGGACCAAACGGGGCUUAGGCUUCGGCGCAGAGAGAGGCCCAAGUGAGAUUAGCUAGUUGGUGGGGUAAAGGCUCACCAAGGCGACGAUCUCUAGCUGUUCUGAGAGGAAGAUCAGCCACACUGGGACUGAGACACGGCCCAGACUCCUACGGGAGGCAGCAGUGGGGAAUAUUGCACAAUGGGGGGAACCCUGAUGCAGCCAUGCCGCGUGUGUGAAGAAGGCCUUCGGGUUGUAAAGCACUUUCAGUUGUGAGGAAAAGUGAGUAGUUAAUACCUGCUCACCGUGACGUUAACAACAGAAGAAGCACCGGCUAACUCCGUGCCAGCAGCCGCGGUAAUACGGAGGGUGCGAGCGUUAAUCGGAAUUACUGGGCGUAAAGCGCACGCAGGCGGUUUGUUAAGCUAGAUGUGAAAGCCCCGAGCUCAACUUGGGAUGGUCAUUUAGAACUGGCAGACUAGAGUCUUGGAGAGGGGAGUGGAAUUCCAGGUGUAGCGGUGAAAUGCGUAGAUAUCUGGAGGAACAUCAGUGGCGAAGGCGACUCCCUGGCCAAAGACUGACGCUCAUGUGCGAAAGUGUGGGUAGCGAACAGGAUUAGAUACCCUGGUAGUCCACACCGUAAACGCUGUCUACUAGCUGUUUGUGGCUUUAAGCCGUGAGUAGCGAAGCUAACGCGAUAAGUAGACCGCCUGGGGAGUACGGCCGCAAGGUUAAAACUCAAAUGAAUUGACGGGGGCCCGCACAAGCGGUGGAGCAUGUGGUUUAAUUCGAUGCAACGCGAAGAACCUUACCUACACUUGACAUGCAGAGAACUUUCCAGAGAUGGAUUGGUGCCUUCGGGAACUCUGA